Molecule: transfer RNA, 72 nt
Filed under: Phialophora macrospora
Lineage: Eukaryota; Fungi; Ascomycota; Eurotiomycetes; Chaetothyriales; Herpotrichiellaceae
Description: tRNA-Thr (TGT) (tRNA-Thr-TGT-1-1)
Rfam family: tRNA
About the family: Transfer RNA (tRNA) molecules are approximately 80 nucleotides in length. Their secondary structure includes four short double-helical elements and three loops (D, anti-codon, and T loops).
Source: RNAcentral
GGUUGUGUAGUGUAGCGGUUAGCAGUAGGUUCUUGUUUUCCCGUGACCCCGGUUCGAAUCCGGGCACGACCU